AGUGAACGCUGGCGGCGUGCCUAAUACAUGCAAGUCGAACGAACGAAUAAGAGCUUGCUCUUAUAAGUUAGUGGCGCACGGGUGAGUAAUAUAUAGCUAAUCUGCCUCUUAGUAGAGGAUAACAGUCGGAAACGAUUGCUAAUACUCUAUACUUCUGCUUUACAUAAGUAAAGUAGAGAAAGUUUUUCGCUAAGAGAUGAGGCUAUACUGUAUCAGCUAGUUGGUAAGGUAACGGCUUACCAAGGCUAUGACGCAUAACUGGUCUGAGAGGAUGAUCAGUCACAUUGGAACUGAGACACGGUCCAAACUCCUACGGGAGGCAGCAGUAGGGAAUAUUGCGCAAUGGGGGAAACCCUGACGCAGCAACGCCGCGUGGAGGUUGACACUUUUCGGAGCGUAAACUCCUUUUAUCGGGAAGGAAUAAUGACGGUACCCGAUGAAUAAGCACCGGCUAACUCCGUGCCAGCAGCCGCGGUAAAAGGG
RNAcentral lists this ribosomal RNA (483 nucleotides) under uncultured Campylobacterales bacterium. RNAcentral describes it as "bacterial SSU rRNA". It matches the Rfam family "Bacterial small subunit ribosomal RNA", at positions 29 to 528 of the family's 1533-position model. The record is from RNAcentral. Lineage: Bacteria; Pseudomonadati; Campylobacterota; Epsilonproteobacteria; Campylobacterales.